AUGGGCAGAGCACCUGAGGUCUGCAGUCAGCAGCCCAGUCCGGGUGAUGCCUCCUGGGAAGGGGCCCAGGCUUGGGGGUAAUGGUGUCACUGAUGUGGGUCCCUGGCCCCACUGUGGGGUGUCCAGGGUUGUGCCUACUGGACCGCCCGCCUCACCAUCCCACCCUGCUGAGCCUCCUCCCUCAGCCAUUGUCCAGCUUCGUGUCUGAAGUCCUGGCGUGGGGCUCACCGCCUGCCCCUUGACCGUGGUGUUCGGAUGCAUCUCACAGUGAGUGCCCCAGCAGGGCAAGUUUGGGGGCUGAGCAUCAGGGGCUCUGCCAGAGCAGGUGGCAAUUCCCUGGAAUCUGGGGUCUUGCCUUUGUUUGGAGACCGAGAGACUCACAUUGUGGGAGGGUCACAGGACAUGUCAUCGGCAGUGAAAAGUUUUGUUCCGUUUCCUGCCUCCAGAACUUGGACGUGCUGGAAUCCAAGGAUGGGUGGGAGAGGGGCCGUUUCUGGAGAUGUCUGCCCUCCGGAGCUGGCCCAUGCCGCAGGAUCUCCCGUCACCCCUGCUGCCUUGGUUGGCGAAUUCGGGGCAUGCUGAGCCUUUCCCCUGCGGCCUUUGCACUUCCUACUCUUCCCUCUGCUUAUCAGACUCCCAG
Molecule: small RNA, 640 nt
Filed under: Pongo abelii (Sumatran orangutan)
Lineage: Eukaryota; Metazoa; Chordata; Mammalia; Primates; Hominidae
Description: pseudogene
Source: RNAcentral